UCCCUGGUGGUCUAGUGGUUAGGAUUCGGCGCUCUCACUGCUGCGUCACGGGUUCGAUUCCUGGUCAGGAAA
RNAcentral lists this transfer RNA (72 nucleotides) under Salmo salar (Atlantic salmon). It matches the Rfam family "tRNA". Rfam says of the family: Transfer RNA (tRNA) molecules are approximately 80 nucleotides in length. The record is from Rfam by way of RNAcentral. Lineage: Eukaryota; Metazoa; Chordata; Actinopteri; Salmoniformes; Salmonidae.